GGAGGGGUCGCAUAGCUGGUCUAGUGCGCACGCUUGGAAAGCGUGUAUGUCGCAAGGCAUCGUGGGUUCGAAUCCCACCCCCUCCG
Molecule: transfer RNA, 86 nt
Filed under: Chloroflexota bacterium
Lineage: Bacteria; Bacillati; Chloroflexota
Description: tRNA-Ser
Rfam family: tRNA
About the family: Transfer RNA (tRNA) molecules are approximately 80 nucleotides in length. Their secondary structure includes four short double-helical elements and three loops (D, anti-codon, and T loops). Further hydrogen bonds mediate the characteristic L-shaped molecular structure. tRNAs have two regions of fundamental functional importance: the anti-codon, which is responsible for specific mRNA codon recognition, and the 3' end, to which the tRNAs corresponding amino acid is attached (by aminoacyl-tRNA synthetases). tRNAs cope with the degeneracy of the genetic code in two manners: having more than one tRNA (with a specific anti-codon) for a particular amino acid; and 'wobble' base-pairing, i.e. permitting non-standard base-pairing at the 3rd anti-codon position.
Source: RNAcentral